GAUGAACGCUAGCUACAGGCUUAACACAUGCAAGUCGCGGGGCAGCAUGGGGGUUGCUUGCAAUCCCCGAUGGCGACCGGCGCACGGGUGAGUAACGCGUAUCCAACCUGCCCUUCACCACGGGAUAACCCGGCGAAAGUCGGACUAAUACCGUAUGUUGUCCAUUGACGGCAUCCGAUUUGGACGAAAGGUUUGGCGGUGAAGGAUGGGGAUGCGUCCGAUUAGCUGGACGGCGGGGUGACGGCCCACCGUGGCGACGAUCGGUAGGGGUUCUGAGAGGAAGGUCCCCCACACUGGAACUGAGACACGGUCCAGACUCCUACGGGAGGCAGCAGUGAGGAAUAUUGGUCAAUGGGCGUAAGCCUGAACCAGCCAAGUAGCGUGCAGGAUGACGGCCCUAUGGGUUGUAAACUGCUUUUAUGCGGGGAUAAAGUGGCCCACGUGUGGGUUUUUGCAGGUACCGCAUGAAUAAGGACCGACUAAUUCCGUG
Molecule: ribosomal RNA, 490 nt
Filed under: uncultured bacterium
Lineage: Bacteria
Description: partial 16S ribosomal RNA
Rfam family: Bacterial small subunit ribosomal RNA
Source: RNAcentral